RNAcentral lists this ribosomal RNA (701 nucleotides) under uncultured beta proteobacterium. RNAcentral describes it as "bacterial SSU rRNA". It matches the Rfam family "Bacterial small subunit ribosomal RNA", at positions 28 to 722 of the family's 1533-position model. The record is from RNAcentral. Lineage: Bacteria; Pseudomonadati; Pseudomonadota; Betaproteobacteria.
AUUGAACGCUGGCGGCAUGCCUUACACAUGCAAGUCGAACGGCAGCACGGGUGCUUGCACCUGGUGGCGAGUGGCGAACGGGUGAGUAAUACAUCGGAACAUGUCCUGUAGUGGGGGAUAGCCCGGCGAAAGCCGGAUUAAUACCGCAUACGAUCUACGGAUGAAAGCGGGGGACCUUCGGGCCUCGCGCUAUAGGGUUGGCCGAUGGCUGAUUAGCUAGUUGGUGGGGUAAAGGCCUACCAAGGCGACGAUCAGUAGCUGGUCUGAGAGGACGACCAGCCACACUGGGACUGAGACACGGCCCAGACUCCUACGGGAGGCAGCAGUGGGGAAUUUUGGACAAUGGGCGAAAGCCUGAUCCAGCAAUGCCGCGUGUGUGAAGAAGGCCUUCGGGUUGUAAAGCACUUUUGUCCGGAAAGAAAUCCUUGGUUCUAAUAUAGCCGGGGGAUGACGGUACCGGAAGAAUAAGCACCGGCUAACUACGUGCCAGCAGCCGCGGUAAUACGUAGGGUGCGAGCGUUAAUCGGAAUUACUGGGCGUAAAGCGUGCGCAGGCGGUUUGCUAAGACCGAUGUGAAAUCCCCGGGCUCAACCUGGGAACUGCAUUGGUGGCUGGCAGGCUAGAGUAUGGCAGAGGGGGGUAGAAUUCCACGUGUAGCAGUGAAAUGCGUAGAGAUGUGGAGGAAUACCGAUGGCGAAGGC